Molecule: ribosomal RNA, 380 nt
Filed under: uncultured marine Chaetocerotaceae
Lineage: Eukaryota; Bacillariophyta; Thalassiosirophyceae; Chaetocerotales; Chaetocerotaceae
Description: SSU rRNA
Rfam family: Eukaryotic small subunit ribosomal RNA
Source: RNAcentral
AGCUCCAAUAGCGUAUAUUAAAGUUGUUGCAGUUAAAAAGCUCGUAGUUGGAUUUCUGGUGUGAGGGAACGGUCCGACCUCUGGUGGGUACUUGCUUCCUCUCACGCCAUCCUUGAGUGGUGCGUUCUGGCAUUCAGUUGUCGGGACGUUAGCCGCUCAUCGUUUACUGUGAGAAAAAGAGUGUUCAAAGCAGGCUUAUGCCGUUGAAUAUAUUAGCAUGGAAUAAUAAGAUAGGACUUCGGUACUAUUUUGUUGGUUUGCGCACCGAUGUAAUGAUCAAUAGGGACAGUUGGGGGUAUUCGUAUUCAGUUGUCAGAGGUGAAAUUCUUAGAUUUACGGAAGACGAACUACUGCGAAAGCAUUUACCAAGGAUGUUUUCA